Molecule: ribosomal RNA, 814 nt
Filed under: Hymenelia melanocarpa
Lineage: Eukaryota; Fungi; Ascomycota; Lecanoromycetes; Hymeneliales; Hymeneliaceae
Description: eukaryotic LSU rRNA
Rfam family: 5.8S ribosomal RNA (bases 450-603)
Source: RNAcentral
UGAGUGACCCCUCAUCACCUUUGUUCGGAAGCCUUGUUUUUUUCAGUCCACCUAAACCGUAAUUGCCCCCGGUGGGCGAGGUUCGCGCCAUGUGGGGAGCUCCUCCGGGGGCGAUCCGCAGCCGUUGAUUCAAUAUUGACGGUUCACAGAUCAAGCACGAGCCGUCCGCGUCUUUCGUUGUGUGGAUCGAGAUAUGAUCGAAAUGUAAGAGGUUUCUCCCUUGCAACGUCUUUUGUUCCGUAGGUGAACCUGCGGAAGGAUCAUUACCGAGAGACGGCCCCCCCGGGGCCGGAUCCUCCCAUCCCUUGCGUACCCUACCAUUGUUUCUUUGGCGGACCCGCGGGGUUACGCCCGCCGUUGGCUUCCCCGGGCUGAUGUGCGUCCGUCCAAGGCCCUCAAAACAACUCAUUUGAACGGUGAUGUCUGAGUACCUGAAUGAACAGUUAGAAAACUUUCAACAACGGAUCUCUUGGUUCUGGCAUCGAUGAAGAACGCAGCGAAAUGCGAUAAGUAAUGUGAAUUGCAGAAUUCAGUGAAUCAUCGAAUCUUUGAACGCAUAUUGCGCCCCCUGGCAUUCCGGGGGGCAUGCCUGCUCGAGCGUCAUUACACCCCUCAAGCCCAGCUUGGUAUUGGGUCCCGUCCCCCGGGGACGUGCCCGAAAGUCAGCGGCGGUGCGGUCGAUCUUCAAGCGUAGUAAAUUAAUUUUUCGCUCUGACGGAUCCGGCCGGGCCAGCCGGGCAGCUUCGCCCCCGGGCGAAUCCAUCCUACGAUUGACCUCGGAUCAGGUAGGGAUACCCGCUGAACUUAAGCAUAU